GACGAACGCUGGCGGUGUGCUUAACACAUGCAAGUGGUGCGACGAACCAGGCUUCGGCCUGGGGCAAAGCCGCGAACGGGUGAGUAACACGUGGGUAAUCUGCCCCAAUGACCGGGACAACCCGAGGAAACUCGGGCUAAUACCGGAUGUGGUGCACAGGCUUAAGUCUGUGUACUAAAGGUAGCUUCGGCUUCCGCAUUGGGAGGGGCCCGCGGCCCAUUAGCUUGUUGGUGGGGUCAAGGCCUACCAAGGCAACGAUGGGUAGCUGGUCUGAGAGGACGAUCAGCCACACUGGGACUGAGACACGGCCCAG
RNAcentral lists this ribosomal RNA (313 nucleotides) under uncultured bacterium. Its description in RNAcentral is "bacterial SSU rRNA". It matches the Rfam family "Bacterial small subunit ribosomal RNA", at positions 28 to 334 of the family's 1533-position model. The record is from RNAcentral.